UACGGGGGGAGCAAGCGUUGUUCGGAUUUACUGGGCGUAAAGGGCGCGUAGGCGGUCGUGACAAGUCACUUGUGAAAUCUCCGGGCUUAACUCGGAACGGUCAAGUGAUACUGUCGGACUAGAGUACAGAAGGGGCAACUGGAAUUCUCGGUGUAGCGGUGAAAUGCGUAGAUAUCGAGAGGAACACCUGCGGCGAAGGCGGGUGCUAGGCCGCAACUGACACUGAGGGACGAAAGCUAGGGGAGCGAAUGGG
This 253-nucleotide ribosomal RNA is filed under the name uncultured bacterium. RNAcentral's name for it is "partial 16S ribosomal RNA". It matches the Rfam family "Bacterial small subunit ribosomal RNA", at positions 524 to 776 of the family's 1533-position model. The record is from RNAcentral.